UACGUAGGGGGCAAGCGUUGUCCGGAUUUAUUGGGCGUAAAGAGCGUGUAGGCGGCCAGGUAGGUCUGCUGUGAAAACUCGAGGCUCAACCUCGAGACGUCGGCGGAAACCAUCUUGCUAGAGUCCGGAAGAGGAGAGUGGAAUUCCUGGUGUAGCGGUGAAAUGCGCAGAUAUCAGGAAGAACACCCGUGGCGAAGGCGGCUCUCUGGGACGGUACUGACGCUGAGACGCGAAAGCGUGGGGAGCGAACAGG
Molecule: ribosomal RNA, 253 nt
Filed under: uncultured bacterium
Lineage: Bacteria
Description: partial 16S ribosomal RNA
Rfam family: Bacterial small subunit ribosomal RNA
Source: RNAcentral